This 410-nucleotide ribosomal RNA is filed under the name uncultured microorganism. RNAcentral's name for it is "bacterial SSU rRNA". It matches the Rfam family "Bacterial small subunit ribosomal RNA", at positions 509 to 917 of the family's 1533-position model. The record is from RNAcentral.
CAGCAGCCGCGGUAAUACGUAGGGUGCGAGCGUUAAUCGGAUUUACUGGGCGUAAAGCGUGCGCAGGCGGCCCGUUAAGACAGGUGUGAAAUCCCUGGGCUCAACCUAGGAAUUGCGCUUGUGACUGGCGGGCUCGAGUACGGUAGAGGGGGGUGGAAUUCCUGGUGUAGCAGUGAAAUGCGUAGAUAUCAGGAGGAACACCGAUGGCGAAGGCAGCCCCCUGGGCCUGUACUGACGCUCAUGCACGAAAGCGUGGGGAGCAAACAGGAUUAGAUACCCGGGUAGUCCACGCCCUAAACGAUGGGUACUAGCCGUUUGGUGCGCGAUAGCGCUGAGUGGCGAAGCUAACGCGUGAAGUACCCCGCCUGGGGAGUACGGCCGCAAGGUUGAAACUUAAAGGAAUUGGCGGG